UCACUUACGCACCGUUGAACAGAAUCGACGUCACCACGUCACUUACGUUCAGAUCCACAACAAACAUGUCGGACGAUCACACAGAUGCAGAUCAGUCGAUGGAGGGACACACUCCUGUUUCUGAGAACCCUCACGCAGAGUACGGCCUGACGGAAAACAUCCAGGU
This is a long non-coding RNA of Notothenia coriiceps (black rockcod), 166 nucleotides long. RefSeq lists it as uncharacterized. The transcript has 3 exons. Lineage: Eukaryota; Metazoa; Chordata; Actinopteri; Perciformes; Nototheniidae. The record is from RefSeq and is a predicted model, not a curated record.